RNAcentral lists this ribosomal RNA (466 nucleotides) under uncultured bacterium. Its description in RNAcentral is "SSU rRNA". It matches the Rfam family "Bacterial small subunit ribosomal RNA", at positions 26 to 518 of the family's 1533-position model. The record is from RNAcentral.
AGGACUAACGCUGGCGGCGUGCCUAACACAUGCAAGUCGAACGAAGUAGCAAUACUUAGUGGCAGACGGGUGAGUAACACGUAGUCAACCUGCCCUUCAAUGGGGGAUAACUAGCCGAAAGGUUAGCUAAUACCGCAUACGAUCUCUGAGUGGCAUCACUCGGCGAUGAAAGGAGUAAUCCGUUGAAGGAGGGGACUGCGUCCCAUUAGUUAGUUGGUGGGGUAAUGGCCUACCAAGACUCCGAUGGGUAGCUGGCUUGGGAGAGCGACCAGCCACACUGGAACUGAGACACGGUCCAGACUCCUACGGGAGGCAGCAGUGAGGAAUUUUCCGCAAUGGGGGAAACCCUGACGGAGCGACGCCGCGUGUGGGAAGAAGGCCUUCGGGUCGUAAACCGACUGUCGAGGGGGACGAUAUUGACGGUACCCCUGGAGGAAGCCCCGGCUAACUACGUGCCAGCAGCCGC